RNAcentral lists this ribosomal RNA (383 nucleotides) under uncultured eukaryote. RNAcentral describes it as "partial 18S ribosomal RNA". It matches the Rfam family "Eukaryotic small subunit ribosomal RNA", at positions 592 to 976 of the family's 1831-position model. The record is from RNAcentral.
CAAUAGCGUAUAUUAAAGUUGUUGCAGUUAAAAAGCUCGUAGUUGGAUUUCUGGUAGGAGCGACCGUGCCGAACUUGAUUGUUCGAGUAUUAUGUUGUCUUCAGCCAUCCUCGUGGAGAACUUUUCUAACAUUAACUUGUUGGGAUUGGGACCCGCGUCGUUUACUGUGAAAAAAUUAGAGUGUUUAAAGCAGGCAUUAGCUUGAAUACAUUAGCAUGGAAUAAUAAGAUAGGACUUUGGUACUAUUUUGUUGGUUUGCAUACCAAAUUAAUGAUCAACAGGAACAGUUUGAGGAUAUUCGUAUGAACAUGUCAGAGGUGAAAUUCUUGGAUUUUGAUCAGACGAACUACUGCGAAAGCAUUUAUCAAGGAUGUUUUCAUUAA